RNAcentral lists this long non-coding RNA (576 nucleotides) under Hordeum vulgare. RNAcentral's name for it is "long non-coding RNA (HVUL_LNC011888)". The record is from RNAcentral. Lineage: Eukaryota; Viridiplantae; Streptophyta; Magnoliopsida; Poales; Poaceae.
UAUGUUGGGCAGAAGCCUUGAUUUGAAAAGUUUAGGUCCAUGAUCGGAAUAAUCCCAUCAGAAUAGGUGUAUCACACAUAAUUCAAGCGAAAAUUCAAUAUAUUACAAAUAAAUAGUUAUAGUAUUUAUGAAAUAGACAUCACAGAAAAUACUUCAUCCUUCAACUCCUCAGCAAAUCCCAGGCCCAACAAAUGCCAAUACAAUACUUUUUCAAUAUUAACUUAAACAAAGCCGGAACUGCUGCUGCUUCAUGGAAACAAAAAAAGGAACACAAAUUUUAUGUAUUUGCAUGUAACAACAAAUGGGGAACAACGGAUUGAUUUGUCUUCCACUUCUUCCGAGUAGCCAGUUCUUUUGGAUUGCAGAACAUCCUGACAUUUACAAGGAGCAAACAGGAGAAAGACAUACAUGAGAAAAACAUACAAACCACAAGGAAAAGAAAAAACAUAUUGCACCCCCUCUCUGCAGACUACCAUGAACAUAAAGAACUCAUGGAGUGGAUACCAUUACAGGCACAAACAAACAAAACUAGACGUAAAAUUUUGCCCACAGUAUAUGAAUUGGGGUUUGUUUCCA